This 255-nucleotide ribosomal RNA is filed under the name uncultured bacterium. RNAcentral's name for it is "partial 16S ribosomal RNA". It matches the Rfam family "Bacterial small subunit ribosomal RNA", at positions 524 to 776 of the family's 1533-position model. The record is from RNAcentral.
UACGAAGGGGGCUAGCGUUGCUCGGAAUCACUGGGCGUAAAGGGUGCGUAGGCGGGUCUUUAAGUCAGGGGUGAAAUCCUGGAGCUCAACUCCAGAACUGCCUUUGAUACUGAAGAUCUUGAGUUCGGGAGAGGUGAGUGGAACUGCGAGUGUAGAGGUGAAAAUUCGUAGAUAUUCGCAAGAACACCAGUGGCGAAGGCGGCUCACUGGCCCGAUACUGACGCUGAUGACACGAAAGCUGGGGGAGCAAACAGG